AAAACCAAAAAGAAUAACCAUCAGCAUCACAGCCACACACCCAGCAGAGAACACCAAUUAUCAAAGGUUCAUAAAUUUAUCAUAACCACCGGUUAAACUCGACGACGACACGACGAUAAUCCGACACAUUAAUCCACGACAUCCGGGCUAACAACAACCCACGACGACACAUUAAACAGUUCAACGCCUAAACAAACAGUCUCGACCACGAAAUUACGCUAAGGCAACGGUAACAUCUAGUUCAGGUUUUUUUUUCCCUCUCUUCUGCUUCAGGAUUCUACGUCAAGCUGGUCACUGACGACGAUGGCAUGCAGACAGACACUGAGCUCACUUCCAGGGCAUGCUGGACAGGCCGCUGUUGCUGGGAGUGGCCGCGGCCGGCACGCCCUGGUUCAUCGGGCUCCCGGAGGACUCGCUGAGCGUGCCCCUGGACGGCGGGCUGUUCUGGGCCAUCCCGACGCUGAUGGGAGCGGUCGCGAGCGGCGGCACGGCGAUCGGCGCCGGCACGAAGUUCGGCGUCAUCCUCGGUGGCGCGGAUGCGGGCUCAUGUGCAGCAGCAGCUUGGUGCUUCGGCGCCUUCUUCUCGGCGACCGUGUUGAAGGUUCCCACCACAACCUGUGGGUACAAGGAUAGCACUGGUUAGUCACUGACUCAUUUCUUUAGUGUAAUAUGACUAGCUAAUACAGUACUGAUCUAAUAUGUGGAUGC
This 708-nucleotide long non-coding RNA is filed under the name Triticum aestivum (bread wheat). Its description in RNAcentral is "long non-coding RNA (TAES_LNC007499)". Lineage: Eukaryota; Viridiplantae; Streptophyta; Magnoliopsida; Poales; Poaceae. The record is from RNAcentral.